AUCAUUGCCCAGUCUAAUGUCACGAAGUUUUUCUCCUUAUGUUUUCUUCUCAUAGAUUUAUAGUUUCAGGUCUUGAAUGUAGGACAUGCUUCAAAUUUAAUUGGUAUCCUUUUUUUCUGCCAAUUUACUACAGAACUUAUUGAAUGUGGAAAAGAUUCAUGCAAUCAUGAGUUUUCUGCCUAUAAUUUUGAAUCAGCUCUUCAAAGUUCUGGUACAGAAUGAGGAAGAUGAAAUAACUACAACUGUCACCAGGGUUCUGACCGACAUUGUGGCCAAGUGCCAUGAGGAGCAGCUGGAUCAUUCUGUCCAGUCAUAUAUUAAGGUAUGAAAUGCCUCUUGGAAAUUGCUCAUAUCC
Molecule: non-coding RNA, 355 nt
Filed under: Pan troglodytes (chimpanzee)
Lineage: Eukaryota; Metazoa; Chordata; Mammalia; Primates; Hominidae
Also listed under: 1 other name
Source: RNAcentral